This 354-nucleotide long non-coding RNA is filed under the name Anas platyrhynchos (mallard). RNAcentral describes it as "lncRNA (ENSAPLG00020005526.1)". Lineage: Eukaryota; Metazoa; Chordata; Aves; Anseriformes; Anatidae. The record is from RNAcentral.
UGCCUUUCAUUAGGCUGAAGUGCAGUGCAGGAUGUCUCAACCAGCUGCCUCUGCAGUGACUCUGUAGAGCGUAAACCUUUGGAGGAACCUGUCACAGGAAAGAGCUCCUUCUGGAACUGUUCAGCACUCGCUGAAACACAGUGUACGACACGGGACUUGACGACCAGAGCUGCUUUUGGCAAGGGGUGUUGUAGCUGGCCUAAGAGAGCAGAUGGAAGCAUCUGCCUCGAGGGGAGGGGAGGGCACGGAGGUAAGGCAGCAGCUGAGAGUAACUGUCCCAGCUGUGCUGUGGCUUUGGAUGCUGCUUCAGCCUAUGCUUUUCUUUUUGUUUCACAUUUGUCUCACACAGGCUGA